GCCAGGUGUGGUGGUGCACACCUGUAAUCCCAGUGACUCUGGAGGCUGAGGAAGGAAGAUUGCAAAUUUGAGACGGGCCACAGGUGCAGUGGCGACUUGGGAGGCUGAGGUAGGAGGAUGACAAGGGAUAACAAGUUCAAGACUAGCCUUAGCAAUUUAGUGAGGCCCUAAGCAACUUAGUGAGACCCUCCCUGUC
Molecule: small RNA, 196 nt
Filed under: Marmota monax (woodchuck)
Lineage: Eukaryota; Metazoa; Chordata; Mammalia; Rodentia; Sciuridae
Source: RNAcentral